RNAcentral lists this ribosomal RNA (253 nucleotides) under uncultured Blastopirellula sp. RNAcentral describes it as "partial 16S ribosomal RNA". It matches the Rfam family "Bacterial small subunit ribosomal RNA", at positions 524 to 776 of the family's 1533-position model. Lineage: Bacteria; Pseudomonadati; Planctomycetota; Planctomycetia; Pirellulales; Pirellulaceae. The record is from RNAcentral.
GACGAACCGGACGAACGUUAUUCGGAAUUACUGGGCUUAAAGAGUGCGUAGGCGGCCUGGCAGGUUGGGUGUGAAAUCCCUCGGCUCAACCGAGGAACUGCGCUCAAAACCGCCAGGCUUGAGGGAGACAGGGGUGAGCGGAACUGAUGGUGGAGCGGUGAAAUGCGUUGAUAUCAUCAGGAACACCGGUGGCGAAGGCGGCUCACUGGGUCUUGUCUGACGCUGAGGCACGAAAGCUAGGGGAGCGAACGGG